GCAGGUGGAGCUCGUUAGCCGUGGUAGGCAAUCUGCCUAGGAGAGCAAACUCUAUACAAAUCCGGGCAGGUGAGGCUCGUUAGCCGUGGAAGGCAAUUCACCUAGGAGAGCAAACUCUAAACAAACCCGGGCAGGUGAGGCUCGUUAGCCGUGGUAGGCAAUUCACCUAGGAGAGCAAACUCUAAACAAACCCGGGCAGGUGGAGCUCGUUAGCCGUGGGAGGCAAUUCACCUAGGAGAGCAAACUCUAAACAAACCCGGGCAG
This is a long non-coding RNA of Eriocheir sinensis (Chinese mitten crab), 264 nucleotides long. RefSeq lists it as uncharacterized. NCBI's taxonomy places the organism in Eukaryota, Metazoa, Arthropoda, Malacostraca, Decapoda, Varunidae. The record is from RefSeq and is a predicted model, not a curated record. The transcript has 3 exons.